UACGGAGGGUGCAAGCGUUAUCCGGAUUCACUGGGUUUAAAGGGUGCGUAGGUGGGCAGGUAAGUCCGUGGUGAAAUCUCUGAGCUUAACUCAGAAACUGCCGUGGAUACUAUCUGUCUUGAAUAUAGUGGAGGUGAGCGGAAUAUGUCAUGUAGCGGUGAAAUGCUUAGAUAUGACAUAGAACAUCGAUUGCGAAGGCAGCUCGCUACGCUAUUAUUGACACUGAGGCACGAAAGCGUGGGGAUCAAACAGG
RNAcentral lists this ribosomal RNA (253 nucleotides) under uncultured bacterium. Its description in RNAcentral is "partial 16S ribosomal RNA". It matches the Rfam family "Bacterial small subunit ribosomal RNA", at positions 524 to 776 of the family's 1533-position model. The record is from RNAcentral.